Molecule: ribosomal RNA, 394 nt
Filed under: uncultured bacterium
Lineage: Bacteria
Description: bacterial SSU rRNA
Rfam family: Bacterial small subunit ribosomal RNA
Source: RNAcentral
GUGAAAUCCCCGGGCUCAACCUGGGAACUGCGUUCUGAACUGGGUGACUAGAGUGUGUCAGAGGGAGGUAGAAUUCCACGUGUAGCAGUGAAAUGCGUAGAGAUGUGGAGGAAUACCGAUGGCGAAGGCAGCCUCCUGGGAUAACACUGACGUUCAUGCUCGAAAGCGUGGGUAGCAAACAGGAUUAGAUACCCUGGUAGUCCACGCCCUAAACGAUGUCAAUUAGCUGUUGGGCAACUUGAUUGCUUAGUAGCGUAGCUAACGCGUGAAAUUGACCGCCUGGGGAGUACGGUCGCAAGAUUAAAACUCAAAGGAAUUGACGGGGACCCGCACAAGCGGUGGAUGAUGUGGAUUAAUUCGAUGCAACGCGAAGAACCUUACCUGGUCUUGACAU